Molecule: long non-coding RNA, 1484 nt
Filed under: Gouania willdenowi (blunt-snouted clingfish)
Lineage: Eukaryota; Metazoa; Chordata; Actinopteri; Blenniiformes; Gobiesocidae
Description: lncRNA (ENSGWIG00000014569.1)
Source: RNAcentral
CCUGGCUGAAAGGACUUCAUACUGGCAGAGCUACCUACUGGAGGCCAGGGAAGAUCUGUGGUAUGGAUGGGAGGACGAGCCUGUUAGGGAUCCCUACUGGGGAACUCGACUGGCUUUGGGAGGACCCCGGAGCCUACAACGAGGUAAAGGUCGGUCGAGAAGGAAGGGUCAGCCCCGCCAGUCUCCUAGCUCUCAGGCUAGCGUCCCUGUUUCUCCUAGCUCUCAGGCUAGCGUCCCUGUUUCUCCUAGCUCCCAGGCUAGCGUUCCUGUUUCUCCUAGCUCCCAGGCUAGCGUUCCUGUUUCUCCUAGCUCCCAGGCUAGCGUUCCUGUGUCUCCUAGCUCCCAGGCUAGCGUUCCUGUGUCUCCUAGCUCCCAGGCUAGCGUUCCUGUGUCUCCUAGCUCCCAGGCUAGCGUUCCUGUGUCUCCUAGCUCCCAGGCUAGCGUUCCUGUGUCUCCUAGCUCCCAGGCUAGCGUUCCUGUGUCUCCUAGCUCCCAGGCUAGCGUUCCUGUGUCCCCUAGCUGUCAGGCUAGCGUUCCUGUGUCCCCUAGCUGUCAGGCUAGCGUUCCAGUCCCGGCUCCACGCACCCGGCCGCCGCCUGCCCUGCCGCCAGUCCCGGCUCCACGCACCCGGCCGCCAGUCCCGGCUCCACGCACCCGGCCGCCGCCUGCCCAGCCGCCAGUCCCGGCUCCCCGCACCCGGCCGCCGCCUGCCCAGCCGCCAGUCCCGGCUCCCCGCACCCGGCCGCCGCCUGCCCAGCCGCCAGUCCCGGCUCCCCGCACCCGGCCGCCGCCUGCCCAGCCGCCAGACCCGGCUCCCCGCACCCGGCCGCCGCCUGCCCAGCCGCCAGUCCCGGCUCCCCGCACCCGGCCGCCGCCUGCCCAGCCGCCAGUCCCGGCUCCCCGCACCCGGCCUCCGUCUGCCCAGCCGCCAGUGCCGGCUCCCCGCACCAGGCCGCCAACGUCGCCGCCAGUGCCGGCUCCCCGCACCAGGCCGCCAACGUCGCCGCCAGUGCCGGCUCCCCGCACCAGGCCGCCAACGUCGCCGCCAGUGCCGGCUCCCCGCACCAGGCCGCCAACGUCGCCGCCAGUGCCGGCUCCCCGCACCAGGCCGCCAACUCCCAGCUCUCCUGUCCCGUCUGAGCCCUCUUCGCCGGAGGUCUUCCCGCCUGCCUCGUCUGAGCCCUCUUCGCCGGAGGUCUUCCCGCCUGCCUCGUCUGAGCCCUCUUCGCCGGAGGUCUUCCCGCCUGUCCCGUCUGAGCCCUCCUCGCCGGAGGUCUUCCCGCCUGUCCCGUCUGAGCCCUCUUCGCCGGAGGUCUUCCCGCCUGCCUCGUCUGAGCCCUCUUCGCCGGAGGUCUUCCCGCCUGCCUCGUCUGAGCCCUCUUCGCCGGAGGUCUUCCCGCCUGCCUCGUCUGAGCGCUCUUCGCCGGAGGUCUUCCUGUCUGCCUCGCCAGCUCCGCCUCAUGGGAGGCCGCCGGAUUCCUGGU